CUAGCCACUCUCCUCUCAUCCAGUCCACGUAGGGGCGGCUGCUCCCUCAGAUCCGCUGCACCGCGUGCCGCCGCCUCCCUCUCCCUCAGAUCUGCCGCCGCGCCCUCCAAGCCACACCCCGCCGCCGCCCUCAACCCAGCAUCCCGGCGGCUUCAGCAGCAGCACGAGCGGGCGGAUCAGGGACAGGUCCCUUGGCGCCAGGCGGUUGAAGUCGUCAGGAAGCGUGGAGGCCGGACGACGCUGGUGAGAUGCAAAUCUGUGAGGGAUCCCAGGCCGACGACUGGCUUCGGCGGCGUCCAUCCCCCGUCCAGCAUUGUUUGCAUCAGCAGGUGUAACCUCGCGGAUCCAACUUGACUGGAUCCGUGGCCACCGGAUCCAUCGCUGCCACUGGGAUGUGGAGAGGCAGCUGGUGUUCGUUUUCCUUUCUCGAUUCAAUUUCUGCUAGUGAUUCAUGCAUGUGCACCUUCCCUUUUGAGGUUAUUGCGCCUGAUGCUUCUGAUUUGACAGGCGGGCAGACAACUCGCAAAUCUCAGCAUCAAGGGCGGAACCGUGCCUGGCCCUCGAGCCCUCCACUUCCGCCUCGAUGGUUGAAGGUAGCGAUUAGACUUGGAGGUGCACCUCGCGAGCUUUAUCUGCAGGAUGCCAUCCAUGCCGAGGACAACAACAGCUGAGGUCUUUUCUCGUCGACAGUGCAACAAUUGCAGCUAGACUUCUCUCAGUUUGAUCUGAUGGUCUACUCAAGCUUGGCACUUGUAUCAGCAAGGAAGGAAGGAUGCGAGAGACUGAUCAUCACAACCCAAAAGAUGGUACAUUUCUAUAAAAAAUGGUUGCAGCAAGCAAGGGAGUAUGUGUUAAUCUGACUUCAACUGAUAUUUUAGAGAACAAGUGUAAUCAACUAUUGACUAUUGUGAUGUGCUUCUAAAUGUAACCUGAGAUGUUGCAUCUUUUGUUUUUUGAGAUUAUGAUAUACUGGACCUAAUAUGUGUAAUUCUGAUAAAUGGGCUGAAAACUUACUAUGUCAUUUGGGCUGAAAUGUUGCUAUGAUGAA
Panicum virgatum (switchgrass) is the source of this 1048-nucleotide long non-coding RNA. RefSeq lists it as uncharacterized. The transcript is spliced from 4 exons. Lineage: Eukaryota; Viridiplantae; Streptophyta; Magnoliopsida; Poales; Poaceae. The record is from RefSeq and is a predicted model, not a curated record.